RNAcentral lists this long non-coding RNA (531 nucleotides) under Nicotiana benthamiana. Its description in RNAcentral is "long non-coding RNA (NBEN_LNC036635)". Lineage: Eukaryota; Viridiplantae; Streptophyta; Magnoliopsida; Solanales; Solanaceae. The record is from RNAcentral.
UCUUAUGACACCCUUUUCUUACAACAAUCGCCCAAUCUACUGAGCCCUGGCUUCCAAAGUUUGUUCGGCUAUCCGAUUCAAUUUUUUAAAUUGAUGCAAAUCUCUUUCUAGUUGUGCUAUUGUUGUGUAAUAGUGCUCACUUUUAGCUUUAAAGUCAUUUGCCUGCUUAACCAUUUUGUUUCAACAGUGAUGACCCUCUUCUUCAAUCCUGCAACCUCGCUGUCGUACUUUUCUUUCAACUGUUCAAUCAUGCGUUCUCGUUCUUCCACAUUUUUGUCUAAUUGCUUUCUGGCCCGGGCUAGAUCACCCUCUGCUUUGUUCAGGUCAAAACCAUACUCCCCUACUUUCCACCUCAGAUUGUCUAUGAGGUUCUCAUCUUUGACACUUCUGGUGGGAUUUUCUGCCGCUAUUCUCAUUUUCUGAAUCUGGGCUCGCAGGGCUUCAUUUUCUUUGGCUAGUCUUCUCUUUUCACCCUCGUCCGUCACGGCUUGCAAAUUAUUGUCGAAUUGAAGGUCUUUGACUUGUCUUUCA